AGUGAACGCUGGCGGUAGGCCUAACACAUGCAAGUCGAACGGCAGCACAGUAAGAGCUUGCUCUUACGGGUGGCGAGUGGCGGACGGGUGAGGAAUACAUCGGAAUCUACUUUUUCGUGGGGGAUAACGUAGGGAAACUUACGCUAAUACCGCAUACGACCUACGGGUGAAAGCAGGGGAUCUUCGGACCUUGCGCGAUUGAAUGAGCCGAUGUCGGAUUAGUUAGUUGGCGGGGUAAAGGCCCACCAAGGCGACGAUCCGUAGCUGGUCUGAGAGGAUGAUCAGCCACACUGGAACUGGGACACGGUCCAGACUCCUACGGGAGGCAGCAGUGGGGAAUAUUGGACAAUGGGCGCAAGCCUGAUCCAGCCAUACCGCGUGGGUGAAGAAGGCCUUCGGGUUGUAAAGCCCUUUUGUUGGGAAAGAAAAGCAGCAGGUUAAUACCCCGCUGUUCUGACGGUACCCAAAGAAUAAGCACCGGCUAACUUCGUG
Molecule: ribosomal RNA, 492 nt
Filed under: uncultured bacterium
Lineage: Bacteria
Description: partial 16S ribosomal RNA
Rfam family: Bacterial small subunit ribosomal RNA
Source: RNAcentral